RNAcentral lists this transfer RNA (90 nucleotides) under Oscillospiraceae bacterium. RNAcentral's name for it is "tRNA-Ser". It matches the Rfam family "tRNA". Rfam says of the family: Transfer RNA (tRNA) molecules are approximately 80 nucleotides in length. Lineage: Bacteria; Bacillati; Bacillota; Clostridia; Eubacteriales; Oscillospiraceae. The record is from RNAcentral.
GGAGAGAUGUCUGAGUGGUCGAAGGUGCUCGCCUGGAACGCGGGUGUGCGGUAACACGCACCGAGGGUUCGAAUCCCUCUCUCUCCGCCA